This 253-nucleotide ribosomal RNA is filed under the name uncultured bacterium. Its description in RNAcentral is "partial 16S ribosomal RNA". It matches the Rfam family "Bacterial small subunit ribosomal RNA", at positions 524 to 776 of the family's 1533-position model. The record is from RNAcentral.
UACGUAGGGGGCAAGCGUUGUCCGGAAUCACUGGGCGUAAAGCGCGUGUAGGCGGAUCGCUAAGUCUGUGGUGAAAGCGCCUGGCUUAACCGGGCGAGGUCCAUGGAAACUAGCGGUCUGGAGGCCGGUAGAGGGGGGUGGAAUUCCGGGUGUAGUGGUGAAAUGCGUAGAGAUCCGGAGGAACACCAGUGGCGAAGGCGGCCCCCUGGGCCGCGCCUGACGCUGAGACGCGAAAGCGCGGGGAGCGAACGGG